Molecule: ribosomal RNA, 260 nt
Filed under: uncultured archaeon
Lineage: Archaea
Description: partial 16S ribosomal RNA
Rfam family: Archaeal small subunit ribosomal RNA
Source: RNAcentral
AGGGUGUAAACGCUGCAGACUUGGUGUUGGAAGCCCUUUGGGGGCAUUCAGUGCCGGAGAGAAGUUGUUAAGUCUGCUACUUGGGAGUACGUCCGCAAGGAUGAAACUUAAAGGAAUUGGCGGGGGAGCACCGCAACGGGAGGAGCGUGCGGUUUAAUUGGAUUCAACACCGUAAAACUCACCAGGGAAGACUGUUACAUGAAGGCCGAGAUGAAGACUCUGCUAGAUUUUCAGAGAGGUGGUGCAUGGCGUCAGUGACU